GUCGUUAUAGCUCAGUGGCGAGCACUGGUCUCGUAAACCAGGGUCCGAGAGUUAAAACCUUGCUAGCGGCA
This 71-nucleotide transfer RNA is filed under the name Ixodes scapularis (black-legged tick). It matches the Rfam family "tRNA". Rfam says of the family: Transfer RNA (tRNA) molecules are approximately 80 nucleotides in length. Lineage: Eukaryota; Metazoa; Arthropoda; Arachnida; Ixodida; Ixodidae. The record is from Rfam by way of RNAcentral.